GGAAGCGGAUGGGGGCGGCGAUGCGCCCCGGUCGGAUGCGGAACGGUCACAAGCCGGCCGCCGAUCGGUCGGGGCGUGGACCGACGCGGAUUGGAGGGUCGGCUGAAACCCGGGCCGUAGACGGGCUCCGGGAGCGUCGUCCCAGCGAUCGUGGAAGGCAGCGUGCGCCGUCGCGCGUGCUUGGCGCCUGCACGCUCCGGCGUCGGCCUGCGGGGCCCCCCAUUCGGCCCGUCUGGAACAGGACCAAGGAGUCUGACAUGUGUGCGAGUCAACGGCGAGUAAACCCGUGCGGCGCAAAGGAGCUGAAUUGGCGGGAUCCCCUCGCGGGCUGCGCCGCCGACCGACCUGAUCUUCUGAGAAGGUUCGAGUGAGAGCAUACCUUCGGACCCGAAGAAUGGUGAAUCUACUGCCUGAGCGGGGCGAAGCCAGAGGGAAAACAUCUGGUGGAGGCCCGAAGCGAUACUGACGGCAAAUCGUUCGUCUGACUUGGGUAUAGGUGGCGAAAAGACUAAUCGAAGCCGUCUAGUAGCUGGUUCCCUCCGAAGUUUCCCUCAGGAUAGCUGGAAGCUGGAAUGCGAGUUCUUCGGUAAAGGCCAAUGAUUAGAGGAUCGGGGCGCAACGCCCUCGACCUAUUCUCAAACUUUAAAUAGGUAGGGGAACGUCGCGGCUGCUUCGUUGAGCCGCGACACGAAAUCCGAGAGCUCCAAGUGGGCCAUUUUUGGUAAGCAGAACUGGCGAUGCGGGAUGCCGGAAGCCGGGUUAGGCGCCGACUGGCGCGCUAACUAGAUUCCCAAAGGGGUGUUGGUCGAUUAAGACAGCAGGACGGUGGUCAUGGAAAGUCGAAAAUCCGCUAAGGAGUUGUGUAACAACUCCACCUGCCGAAUCAACUAGCUCCCGAAAAUGGAUGGGCGCUUAAAGCGCGGCGACCUACAACCCGGUCCGUCGGGGCAAGUGCCAGGCCCCGAUGAGUAGGAGGGCAGCGGGCGGUCGCCGCAAAGCCUGUGGCGCGAGCCAGGCGAGCGGCCGUCCGGUGCAAGAAUCUUUGGUGGUAGUAGCAAAUAUUCAGUGAGAGAAUUUGAAGGCCGAAGAGGGGAAAGGGUUCCAAUGUGAACGGCACUUGCACAUGGGUUAGUCGAUCCUAAGAGACGGGGAAAGCCGUCCGAACAGCGCGCCAGCGCGGAGCCUUCGAAAGGGAAUCGGGUUAACAUUCCCUGAAUCCGGGCGUGGCGGCUGACGGCAACGUUAGGGAGUCCGGAGACGUCGGGCGGGGCCCUCGGGAAGAUUAAUCUUUUCUGUUAACAGCCUGCCCACCCUGGAAACGGCUCUGCCGGAGGAGGGUCCAGCGGCGGAAGAGCACCGCACGUCCGCGUGGUGUCCGGUGCGCCCCGCGGUACCCUUGAAAUCCGGAAGGACCGAGUCCGAUCCACCCCGGUCGUUUACUCAUAACGCAUCAGGUCUCCAAGGUGAACAGCCUCUGGUCGAUGGAAACAUGUAGCAAAGGGAAGUCGGCAAAAUGGAUCCGUAACUUCGGGAAAAAGGAUUGCUCUGAGGGCUGGGCACGGGGGUUCCCAGUCCGACCCGUCGCUGUCGGUUGGACUGCUCGAGCUGCCUCCGCGGCGAGAGCGGGUGGGGGGGCGCCGCGUGCCGGCCGGGGGACGGACUGGGAACGGCUCCCUCGGUGGGCGCUUCCCCGGGCGUCGAAGCAGCGAAUCAGAACUGUGUACGGACAAGUGGGAAUCCGACCUGUUUAAUUAAAACAAAGCAUUGCGAUGGUCCGUGAGGAUGCUAACGCAAUGUGAUUUCUGCCUCAGUGCUCUGAAUGUUAAAGUGAAGAAAUUCAACCAAAGCGGGUAAACCGGCGGGGUAACUAUGGACUCUCUAAGGUAGCCAAAUGCCUCGUCAUCCUAAUUAGUGACGCGCAUGAAUGGAUUAACAGAUUCCCACUGUCACCUGUCUCUUUCCCCGCUGAUUUGCAACCCGUUCCCUUGGCUGUGGUUUCGCUGGAUAGUAGACAGGGACAGUGGGAAAAUCUCGUUAAUCCAUUCAUGCGCCGUCACUAAUUAGAUACGAGGCAUUUGGCUACCUAAGAGAGUCAUAGUUUACUCCCGCGUUUACCCGCGCUUGGUUGAAUUUCUUCACUUUGACAUUCAGACAACUGGCAGAAAUCACAUUCGCGUUAGCAUCCUCAGGGACCCAUUAGCAAUGCUUUGUUUUAAUAUAAACAGUGCGGAUUCCCCUUUGUCGUACCAGUUCUGAGUCGGCUGUUCGACGCCCGGGAAGGCCCCCGAGGGAGCCUUGCUAAAUGACUUCCGUUAUUCGGCCGUUCCCAUCCGUCCCCGGCCGGCACGCGGCGAACCCGCUUCGUCGCCGCGGAGGCAGCUCGAGCAGUCCACCGACAGCCGACGGGUUCGAGACUGGGACCUCCGUGCCACCCUUCCUAAGCCAUCCUUUUCCCCGAAGUACGGAUCCAUUU
This 2473-nucleotide ribosomal RNA is filed under the name Nepenthes rafflesiana. Its description in RNAcentral is "eukaryotic LSU rRNA". It matches the Rfam family "Eukaryotic large subunit ribosomal RNA", at positions 415 to 3401 of the family's 3401-position model. The record is from RNAcentral. Lineage: Eukaryota; Viridiplantae; Streptophyta; Magnoliopsida; Caryophyllales; Nepenthaceae.